ACUCCUACGGGAGGCAGCAGUGGGGAAUAUUGCACAAUGGGCGCAAGCCUGAUGCAGCCAUGCCGCGUGUAUGAAGAAGGCCUUCGGGUUGUAAAGUACUUUCAGCAGUGAGGAAGGUGGAGUCGUUAAUAGCGGCCUCAUUUGACGUUAGCUGCAGAAGAAGCACCGGCUAACUCCGUGCCAGCAGCCGCGGUAAUACGGAGGGUGCGAGCGUUGUCCGGAAUUACUGGGCGUAAAGAGCUCGUAGGCGGUUUGUCACGUCGUCUGUGAAAUCCUAGGGCUUAACCCUGGACGUGCAGGCGAUACGGGCUGACUUGAGUACUACAGGGGAGACUGGAAUUUCUGGUGUAGCGGUGGAAUGCACAGAUAUCAGGAAGAACACCGAUGGCGAAGGCAGGUCUCUGGGUAGUAACUGACGCUGAGGAGCGAAAGCAUGGGUAGCGAACAGGAUUAGAUACCCUGGUAGCUACGAGU
This 474-nucleotide ribosomal RNA is filed under the name uncultured bacterium. RNAcentral describes it as "bacterial SSU rRNA". It matches the Rfam family "Bacterial small subunit ribosomal RNA", at positions 335 to 800 of the family's 1533-position model. The record is from RNAcentral.